GUAGUUAACAGAAAGGAAACAAUUACAGUACACUUUGGUAGCCGUGGUGACAUUCUCCGUGCAAACAGUUCCAUAGAUUGACAAGUGGAUCCAACGUGUCUUCAAAGGUGGAGAAAGGACACGCAGAGCACAAUACUUCAAGAAAGGAAUAACUCCAGAGAAGCUUUGGCUACUUUUCACCUGCUCAGAAUCCUGAACAGGACCAUCUGGCAUGCGGGCAUGUUAACAAGAUCAUAAAUUAGGAGGAGAAAUGAAGCCAGAUUUCCAUAAUGGUCGCAAGACAGAAAUCAACAGUGCCGUGCAGCAGCAAUGGAGUCGGCUUGGAAGUGGAUCACCCCAACACACAUCCUUCUGGAUACCUGACUUUGGAGAGGUCCCCAUCAUUUCUGGAGUGCCUGCAAAGCUGAUCUCUGUUCAGAGCUUCUUCUGGAGGUAGUACAUUGACAGAUUCUUCAGUCUCUCCUUUGGGUGUUCCCUAUUCAGGCUUUUAAACUUGUUUAAAAGUCAGUUUGAUAAGGUCCAGCUUUGCCAGUCCCACAGAUAAUUGUUCUUCCUUUGGACGUGAAAGGUCCUGAAUUUCUGUCUGUGCCUCUCAUCCCAUUUUGUACAUUCAGCUCCCUUUCCCGUUCUUUCUCAUUAAUGCGGAUGCAUGCUUUGCCUAUUUUAUUUGUACUUUGUUUAAUCCACAAUUCUGGGACUGGCUAAUCAAUUCUUCUCUGUAAUUUAUUAAUUUCUGCUUUUAUCUUUAUCAAUUAUGCACUUCCAGUUUCCCUGGAUUUAUGUAGCUGUGCUUCCAUAUCCGUCCAUGAUGAGGAAAUUUAUUUGUUUUCAUUUGCUUCUUUGAUUUUUCCCUCAAUUCAUGACAUUUUCUUUACAGUCUAACUCAAGGUCAGACUUUGUAAAUGUCUUCUGGCCCCUAAGAGAGAAAAUGAUUUCACUUCUCUCAACAUUAGUGGCAUAAAUAUUUGCUCAUUGAAUAUUCAGGUAAGUGCAAACUUACCUACCUACCUACCUACCUACCUAUCAUCUGUCUGUCUGUCUGUCUGUCUGUCUCUCUCUCUCUCUUUCUAUCUAUCUAACUUGGAUUUUGGAUUGCUCAGAAAACAUUUCCCCUUUAAGUAUUUUUGUGAACGUUUUCUUCAAUUCUAACCACUUUUGCCUAAAGCAUUUGUAUGCAACCUCAUUGUGUAGUGAAGGGGCUGGUCUGUUAUGUCUUCCUAAUGGGUGUCACCUUGCAUUUCAUUGGCCCUAACCAUUGUUUAACAACCAGCUUCUACAUUUUGGGAGUAGCCUUGCUCUGGUUAUAACUCCCACAGAUAACAUAAAGCCAAACCUUAUUUCCUGAUCCAUUUAAGAUUCUGUUAUUAAAUGCAGGGGCCAGAUCACUUUUGUCUUUUUUUCCCACUUUUAUAUUUUCUUGCUCUUUGCAUCACUUUAGAAUGUUACUUUUAUAAGAUCAUUGUUUAGUUAAUACAUGUUUAUUUAUCUGAAAUUGUUUUCCUACUUUUACAUGAUAUAAAGCACCACAUAUAGUUAUUUAAGCUGUACAAAUAUUAGUGUACCUACUUUUUAUAACUAUCGAAGUCUAUAUGAAGCAGUGACUAAGGAUACAUGGGGACAGAGAAUGCAGACUCCAUACCUUCACAUCUUUUUCUUCCUUUCCCACAAAAUGACCCAUUUAGUCCUGUCAAAUAAAGUAGUUAUCUCUGCAUUGUGGCUAUUGGUUAAUUUGUCUGUAGGUUCUAAGAAUCACUAUAUUUGUGUUGCCUUUGUGGAGGGAGGGUCUGUAGGGCAAAUCCAGAUUCCAUUUUUUAUUAGCACCGAUCACAACUAGACUUUUUUAAGGAACUUUUUAGUUCCACUCUCAAGGUCAGAGUCAAUUCUUGUGAUUCUGACUCACAAUGCAGGUACCACAUAGUUUUAUUUGCUGUAGGGCUGCAAGUGGAAUGUAGAGCCCCUUCCGUUAGUCAAGUGUUCUAUCUCUAAUUGACAACCCAGCCUCACAUAAACUAUCUUAGUAUCAGGGGGUGGCUGUUUACAUUUUCAGAAUUCAUGCUCAUCUGAGAAAGUCUUUGUUUUGUCUUGGAAAGUAAAUGGCUUCUUGCCUGGUGCGUGUGUCACCAGAUCAAAGCUCUCCACCCCCCCCACUCCCACCCCCUUCCCCCGCACUGGGCAUUGCCCCCUUCUGGAAUUUACUUGGAAUGGCUUCAUACUGUGGGAAUCAGUGUUGCAAAUUCCACUCCCCUGUUGUUCCCCUGUUGGUAGCUUUUUCCUUUGUUAAUUCUUUGCCUAGACACUUGUUGAAUUAUUUUUUAUUCACAUAAAGAAUAUAAAAAUCUUUAUAAAAUCUAUAUAGAAUAUACAUUAUAUGAUGUAAUGAGUUGGUUAGUGGCUUGUGCCUUGGAAGUCCAUCCCACCGACCUAUUCAAGUCUUCCUAAUUCCAGGAAAGUUUUCUUCCACUUUGUCCUAUGUCGCCCUUUAAACUGGUCAAAUUCGUUUGUAUUCAAAUUCUUGACCUAGAUAUUACUUUCACCCUGAAAGUCCCGGGGCUUUCCUCUGGCUUCCUUCAAGCUUCUGAAACAUCUGCAAGCUGAACUUCACUCCCUGUUGGUUUUAGUUAUGGAAUGUUUAAGCUCUUCGCUGUUCCUCGCCAUUUCUAGUGGCGUUCUCUGUCUCUGCACAUGCUUUCCUUGACUCUCCGUGUGCUUAAGCAAGCUUCUAUUUAUUCUCUUGUCAUUCUGUUUCAUCCAACAUUUUAUUAAAGACAUGGUCUUCUCCAUUUCAAUUAAGUAAAUGCAAUCUAAUAUGUUUAAUACAUUGUUCUAGAUAUUUUCAAUAAUUUCGUCCUAGUUUCUGUUGAUACAAAAACCACAUCUCUCAUCUUAAAGGGAAUAAGAGAUCGUUUAUUCUGGAGUCUUUUGGCGUGAUCAUGGGCCAGGACCUCAGAUUUAGGUUAUCUCAAAUUCCAGGUUCCAGCAUGGAAGCAUUUUCAUGAAGUUUUAUAGUUUUCCCGUAGGAAGAAAUUCAUAUAUCAAAGCAAAUUUAAAUUAUAAUGGUGGGUGCAUCACAGAGGCAGGCACAGAGAGAUGGAGGGAGCUUUUAUAUAGGCCCAAGAUGCUAGCUGAGCUUUUGGGUGGGUCAAAGCUAUUGGUCUGCUAGGAUAAUAGAUUCUAAAAGGUUUCUAUUUAUUAGUUGCAUGAUGUCAGUGUUGAUACCAAGGGAGGCAAAUGAUGUCUGUUCUGAAAGGGUUAGAACUAGCCCAUGGCAAGGUAAGUAGCUUCUGGACCCAUAGCAUCCAGUCUCCCCAUCAUGCUGCAGUUCCGACCAGUCGACAAGUGUCUACAGAGAUUCCCUUCCUGGAGAUCCUGUUCACACUCAUUAACACCGAUUAUCAUUUUAUAUGAUUCAUGCUUGUAAUAUAGUUCUCCUUUUUUAUCCUUAACUGAUUUACCUUGAAAUACAACAGCUCUCUUCAACUGAACCACAGCCCUAUAAGCAGUAAGUACUAAUAGAUUCUCCCAAGAGCCCUCCUCUACCAUCCUGGAUGGGGUUCCCCACUUGGAUAAUAAGUUGCUAUAACUUACUAUAACAACUAAGAUCAUGGAUCCAGACAAACAUGUGCACAGGUCCAGGAUGGGACAAUGAUUACUGGGAUAUAUCUUUUUGCCCAGGCUAAGCUUUUUGUGUUAUGUACUGACAGUGUAGAGUGCUGUCCUAUGCUGGCUGCAAAAGCUGCCCAUAGCUGGGGUUGAGAGCCAGAUGCAUGGAGGGGCGUGAUAUCUGACGAUCAAUUUCUUGGUGGCUGCCGAGUGUUAUGGACGUCACUUAGCUAGCUCCUGUUCAUACUUUGGAUUUCUGUUUCAUUCAUUCAUUCGCUCAUCCAUUUAUUUGUUCAUUUUUUUAUUCAUUCAACAAGUUCUUCAAAUUAAUGCCAGACAUCAAACUACAUUCCCAGGAAGUUCAAAGACCAUGGAAUAGAAUAAAUAAAAGGAGGAGGAGAAGGAGGAUGGAGAGGAGGAGAAGUAGGAAACUAGAUAUUUUCAGCCUAUAGAACAGUAAAGUUUAAAAAAAAAACUUGAAAGACGUGAAAGUAUUAGAGCUUUACCUCCAGAAGAACAGAGGUAACAAUUAUAUCCAUUUUUAGAAAUAGCUAACAGAAAAAUAGUAAAGUGAAAUAUUUAAGCUAUUAAAAUAAUAAAGUCAUCCAAAAAUUCUGUAUCCUGCAAAACUGUGCCUCAAAAGUAAUGGAUAAAUGAAGACUUCCUUAGCUAAAGAAAAAUUGAGAUAUGUUGCUAUCAGUCCUGCAUUACGUGGACUUUUUUUAUGAGUCUCUUAUAUAUUACAUCCAACCACAGUUUCCCCUUGUUUCUG
Molecule: long non-coding RNA, 4372 nt
Organism: Mus musculus (house mouse)
Lineage: Eukaryota; Metazoa; Chordata; Mammalia; Rodentia; Muridae
Product: predicted gene, 45945
Exons: 3
Source: RefSeq, a predicted model, not a curated record